CAACCUGGCUGCCGGUCACACGUCACCGAUCAUGAGCGCCUAACCUCAGUCAUCCAGCUAUCUGCUAAUUGCGGAUGCGUAUCUCCUCUUGCCAAAUCCAAAUGGGAUGGAUGCAUAGGGAUGAAAACUCUGAUCCUUGUGAAGCCAUCGUUUGGGCUGAAAGCAGUCAGGAUUGGGGAAGACUUCCUUAUCUCGUGAGGUUGCAUAGUGACACAGCGUAAUCAGAGUCUGUUUAGAAGAUUGAAGACCAUUCAGAAUUAUUGAGGCACCAUCAGAACAAUGAUCAGCUAUCAAAACACAUGGACACCAUGAGGGUGCAGCAGUAUUUCCAUGCAGUGUACCUCAAACAGACACAGGUGGUAGUUCACAUCUUCAAGGUCAGAAUUUGUACUUGCGUCUUGCAGACACAAAUUCUUGGGUGCAACAACAGAGAUGCUGGACAGAAGAUGAAACAUAUCAAAGGGACACCCACGUUAACAAGAGGGCUGCCUGAAUGUCUGAGUGCCUGGACAACUCAUAUAAUGUCCACGACAUCGUGCUGGAAAUCUAUAGGAAACAGAGAGAAAGGGAGCAAUGUGAUACUGGUGCUGAAAGGAAGGCGAACCACCUAGUGUAGCAAUGAGUGAUACAGGAUUGGAUGCCCUUAGGGAUUUGAUGCGAUCUACAACGUAGUCAGAUACCUUCACUCGGAUUUCGAGACCCAGAAUCAAUGAAUUGGGAAACAGACGAGAUAACUCAACUGUGGAAACAAAAAGUACUUGAAAACACUUCAAAAUUUCACUCAACAAUAACACUGGUGCUUCAAUUGAAAAGCACCCGAAACCUAAGAAUGACUACACCCAAUAAACCUCCCCCACUCACUAAUCAAAGACAUGAUCCGCCAUAGGAUUGGAAUGAGCACGCUGCCGGUAAAAUCGUUUCUGAGGAGCCGGUACCGCCAUGAUCGCCGAUUCGGUGAAGGGGCAGCCGGGAUUUUAACUGAAAAUGACAGCACGAGAGCGGCGCACUGUUCGCGAUCGUGAAAGUGCGUCAUCACCGAGCGCCCGAGUGUGUCAUGUGAGCUUUUCUUUUCAGUUACUUCAGCAACGGGUAGUUUACUUCAGAUUGCGAGGGAUUUGUCCAAAACGGAAAGAAAAUGGGUUAUUCUGUAAUUUGUUAUUAUUGAAGAACAGUCCGUGAACAUUACAAUACCAGGACAGGCUGCUGGUGUGAGGAUUAGAGAAGACCUUUAAGUGCUCAAGAGACAGUCAUCCAUGAAAAACCAAUUCAAAAUUUGCUUCCUUUCCUUCUUGAAUCGAAAUUGUGAAGACCCUCAGUGUGAAUCUCAGUAACAGGCAGGCACUAGUGGGGAGCUAAGGAACGAAAGGACCAUCAGCAGUCUGGAGAUUGCAAAUUGGACUUACCAAUCUUCUCAGAACCCAUCAAGCCACAGUGGAAACAAGUCAACCCUGAGUCAGAGGAGCUACUUAAGACAUACUGGCAAGAAAUGUCCGAAGAAACCUAAUUCUGGCUCUGGAUUCCUACAGGCAACUAAGAUUCACUUAAAGUCAUUUCAGUGGAAGUGAGGGCUUGCUAUACUGAAUAGUUUCCCUUGUCUGGAGAGUUUAGAGCAAUGGAUCAUAAUCUCAGGAUAAGGGAUCAGCCAGUUAAGACCCAAGAUGAGAAGUUUCUUCACUUUAUCUUUGGAGUUCUCUAUUCAAGAGCUUUGGAUGCCCAGUCAGAUCAGGACAAUGGGAACCCUGGCUGACUCCACACUCCUCCCUCACCCAAGGGACUUCAACUAUAGAGCCUCUGGUACACUUCAAAGUUAAGAUCAGCGAAUGCUACAGACUGGAAAUGAAACCUGGAAUCUCAUUAGCUUGUACAACUCAGAUGUUCUUUGUUGCUCUACUAGUAUCUGAAAAGUCACCUGCUUCUCCAUAGAGAAUAUCCCGAUUAGCCUCGAGGCAGAACUAAAGUACUGUGUACAAGACAACAAAUCCCAAUGGACAUUGCAUGGAGAAGGUCAGGCUGAUACGUUCACUGAGAAUCAAUACAAGCAGAAGGAACAAGACUGGAAUCCGUCAGAAAAUUCGCAGCUCCAAAAUGAAGCCUUAAAUUGCUAUCUAUCAGAAAAUCAUUGAGACAAUUGUUUGGCGAUAGACAACAUUUUCUAGAUGGAUGACAAGCAGAAAUGUAGCACUCAUCAGAAAUCAAUCCACAGCACGAUUUAAAGAGGGACAGUUUCUGCAGUCAAGCAGAGGGGCACAGAACGAAU
Stegostoma tigrinum is the source of this 2257-nucleotide long non-coding RNA. RefSeq lists it as uncharacterized. NCBI's taxonomy places the organism in Eukaryota, Metazoa, Chordata, Chondrichthyes, Orectolobiformes, Stegostomatidae. The transcript is spliced from 13 exons. The record is from RefSeq and is a predicted model, not a curated record.